UGCCAGCCGCCGCGGUAAUACGGAGGGUGCAAGCGUUGUUCGGAAUUAUUGGGCGUAAAGAGCAUGUAGGCGGACUAUUAAGUCAGGGGUGAAAUCCCGGGGCUCAACCCCGGAACUGCCUCUGAUACUGGUAGUCUUGAGUUCGAGAGAGGUGAGUGGAAUUCCGAGUGUAGAGGUGAAAUUCGUAGAUAUUCGGAGGAACACCGGUGGCGAAGGCGGCUUCCUGGACCGAUACUGACGCUGAGACGCGAAAGCGUGGGGAGCAAACAGGAUUAGAUA
Molecule: ribosomal RNA, 279 nt
Filed under: uncultured bacterium
Lineage: Bacteria
Description: partial 16S ribosomal RNA
Rfam family: Bacterial small subunit ribosomal RNA
Source: RNAcentral